AUGGUACGAUCGAUCACGGGGAGGUGUGUCACUACGACUGUGUGUGUGUGUGUGUGUGUGUGUGUGUGUGUGUCUGUCGUCAUGGAAACAUGCUGCAGGGUUGGCGCUCCAGCAGCGAGGUGGUGCCGUGUUGCAUUGUGGGAACUGUCCGGGUCUUUAGCUGGUGUCCAUCGACUCCAUGUUGGCGGAGGUGGAGUCUCUCUGGAUGGAAUCAAAGAUGGCCGCCAGCUCCUGAUUGGAGGAGAUCUGGGACUGGAAUUCGGACAUGAGCGGCGACUUCUCGGCCACGGGGAUGAGACACGGGACGUCAGCCGAUCCGGCCCGGACGCCAGCUGCGGCAGGGGGCGGGGUCGGCGUACCUUGGUGGUGCAGGUGGCCCUCAGAGGCUCCACCAGUCUGUCCAGUCUCUGCAGGACGGCACUGGGACACAGCGAGGACAGCCGGGCCAGCAUCAGGAACGUCAGCAUCUGAAACGCAGAACCGGAGUUCAGACCUCUGAUCCGGUUCUCCACUGCUCCACCUCCGGGUCUGGGGGGAGGGACACCUUGAUGUCGUAGUGGUCCUUCAGGCCGUCCUCCACGUGGUUCAGGAAGGUGAAGAUGUCCAGUCGGUCCAGACAGCUGUCCAGCAGGGUGUACAUGCACUCGAACGCCGCUUUCCUCAGGUCCAGCCCGUCGUCCACCGUGUGCUUGAAGGGUCCCAUCUCCACCUGCACGGAGGGGCGGAGCUUAGGUAAAGAUUGACUCCCGGAGUCUCAGUAGGGGGCUGGGACGUCCCCUGUGGGUGAACCUGGCUCGGGUCAAUAACAGAACUAGAAAUGAGGCCUCCUGCAAUAAUGCUGGAGUGAAUGAAUACUUUUAGACUGAAAUUACUGACGCAGUUCACUUUAAUUCCUGACGGGAUUUUCUAAAUAAAAAUCCUAAAUCUAUUUGAAAAAUGUUACAUUUGAUAAACAGAGCUGAAGUAGAGCUGCAUUUCUGAGAAAUGUGUCAUUAAAUUGCUUAAAAAUCCUUCAUACGUGAACAU
This 1026-nucleotide long non-coding RNA is filed under the name Oryzias javanicus (javanese ricefish). RNAcentral's name for it is "lncRNA (ENSOJAG00000017078.1)". Lineage: Eukaryota; Metazoa; Chordata; Actinopteri; Beloniformes; Adrianichthyidae. The record is from RNAcentral.